UUUAUUAGGCUUGAAAAUAGGUUCUACACUACACCUAUCUCUAGUUUCAAUGUACUACCAUACUAGGCUUUAAUUAGCAAUAUUAUUAUAUUAGCAUUUAUAACCAUGCGUUCUAACUUGUAAUGUUAUUAAAAGAAAUUGAGUACAAAUUAUGUGAGAUGAAAAGAGGAGGAGAAUACGAUGAUAUUGCAUCAUGUAAAAAAAAAAGAUGAUAUUGUAAUAUGCUACAUAUAAAAACUGUAAUGUAUGUAUAUUUGUAACUUUCUUUUUGGGGGGGGUGGAGAUCGGGGCUAAGGGCCUAAGGCCUAGGCCCUAAGAAGAAAGACAAAAUUAUUAAUAG
RNAcentral lists this long non-coding RNA (340 nucleotides) under Glycine max (soybean). RNAcentral describes it as "long non-coding RNA (GMAX_LNC001843)". The record is from RNAcentral. Lineage: Eukaryota; Viridiplantae; Streptophyta; Magnoliopsida; Fabales; Fabaceae.